This 468-nucleotide ribosomal RNA is filed under the name uncultured bacterium. RNAcentral describes it as "partial 16S ribosomal RNA". It matches the Rfam family "Bacterial small subunit ribosomal RNA", at positions 28 to 507 of the family's 1533-position model. The record is from RNAcentral.
GACGAACGCUGGCGGCGUGCUUAACACAUGCAAGUCGAACGGAAAGGCCCUGCUUUUGUGGGGUGCUCGAGUGGCGAACGGGUGAGUAACACGUGAGUAACCUGCCCUUGACUUUGGGAUAACUUCAGGAAACUGGGGCUAAUACCGGAAAGGAGCUCCUGCUGCAUGGUGGGGGUUGGAAAGAUUCGGCGGUUGGGGAUGGACUCGCGGCUUAUCAGCUUGUUGGUGGGGUAGUGGCUUACCAAGGCUUUGACGGGUAGCCGGCCUGAGAGGGUGACCGGCCACAUUGGGACUGAGAUACGGCCCAGACUCCUACGGGAGGCAGCAGUGGGGAAUAUUGCACAAUGGGCGGAAGCCUGAUGCAGCAACGCCGCGUGCGGGAUGACGGCCUUCGGGUUGUAAACCGCUUUCGCCUGUGACGAAGCGUGAGUGACGGUAAUGGGUAAAGAAGCACCGGCUAACUACGUG